RNAcentral lists this ribosomal RNA (373 nucleotides) under uncultured Bacteroidales bacterium. Its description in RNAcentral is "bacterial SSU rRNA". It matches the Rfam family "Bacterial small subunit ribosomal RNA", at positions 42 to 414 of the family's 1533-position model. The record is from RNAcentral. Lineage: Bacteria; Pseudomonadati; Bacteroidota; Bacteroidia; Bacteroidales.
ACAGGCUUAACACAUGCAAGUCGAGGGGUAGCAGGGUAGCAAUACCGCUGACGACCGGCGCACGGGUGAGUAACACGUAUCCAACCUUCCCAUAACUCGGGGAUAGCCUUUCGAAAGAAAGAUUAAUACCCGAUAGUACUUUAUUAAGGCAUCUUAAGAAAGUUAAAGAUUUAUUGGUUAUGGAUGGGGAUGCGUUCCAUUAGAUAGUUGGUGAGGUAACGGCUCACCAAGUCUUCGAUGGAUAGGGGUUCUGAGAGGAAGGUCCCCCACAUUGGUACUGAGACACGGACCAAACUCCUACGGGAGGCAGCAGUGAGGAAUAUUGGUCAAUGGGCGAGAGCCUGAACCAGCCAAGUAGCGUGAAGGAUGACGG